RNAcentral lists this ribosomal RNA (375 nucleotides) under uncultured bacterium. Its description in RNAcentral is "bacterial SSU rRNA". It matches the Rfam family "Bacterial small subunit ribosomal RNA", at positions 523 to 898 of the family's 1533-position model. The record is from RNAcentral.
AUACGUAGGUGGCGAGCGUUGUCCGGAAUUACUGGGCGCAAAGGGUGCGUAGGCGGAUAAUCAAGUCAGAUGUGAAAGUCCAUGGCUUAACUGUGGGAGUGCAUUUGAGACUGAAGAUCUAGAGUGCAGGAGAGGGAAACGGAAUUCCUAGUGUAGCGGUGAAAUGCGUAGAUAUUAGGAAGAACACCAGUGGCGAAGGCGGCUUUCUGGACUGUAACUGACGCUGGAGCACGAAAGCGUGGGGAGCAAACAGGAUUAGAUACCCUGGUAGUCCACGCCGUAAACGAUGAGUAUUAGGUGUAGGGGACGAUAGUCUUCUGUGCCGGAGCAAACGCAAUAAAUACUCCGCCUGGGGAGUACGGUCACAAGACUAAA